Molecule: long non-coding RNA, 1073 nt
Organism: Vespa velutina
Lineage: Eukaryota; Metazoa; Arthropoda; Insecta; Hymenoptera; Vespidae
Exons: 3
Source: RefSeq, a predicted model, not a curated record
ACUCGCAGUAGCUGUAGUUUAUUCGUUCAUUCGGGCGCGGACGCACGAGUUCGCCAUCCAAUCGUCCUCGUUUCGUCCUCGUUGUCGUAGCACCUCGACUGAAACCUCGUAAAGCCAGAAACGACCAAUUAAACGAAACGAGGAGCGCACUGAUGCAUUCUCUGGCUGGUUGCCUGCCUGCCGGCAUUACCUACAGGUUAUACGACUCGCGGAAUUACCCUCAAAUUACACAGUUGGUACCGAUGUGUGCACUUCGCCUUUCCUCUCCUUUCCUCUUCCUCUCAUGUCCUCUCUUCCCUUUUCCGUAUACUUACGCGUUGGAAUAACAACCGCUUCGUUUGCACGAAGAAGAGAAAGAGGAAGGGAAGAAGAAACAGGACGACGGUGAAAACAAGACGAUGAACGCUGCAAAGGGUAUACUUGUCGGUCGAUUCCUGAUGAGUGAUCAGCCACGAAGAAAGUGACGGGUACAAGAGCAUUCGCACACUUCCGAGCACCUAUUCUUCGAUUUGACUGGUCGAUUUAACGCGAGAGUCGAACGUUCCAAGAAGUCAUAAAGCAUGUUGGGCAUGCUUCAAGAGUCUUGACUUUGGUCGUUUCUCUUCGUCGUGAAGAGACUAAGAAGGGCGGUGCAAUGACGAAACGACAACGACAUGUUGGGAAACGAUCAUUCAGGCAUAUCGCCAGAACUCGUUGUCGAUUAGUUAUCGUAGGAGAAUCGAUCGACUCGAUGACAACGCGUACGUGCAAAUUACGAUCAACGUAUCGGGAAAGAGUACGAGUGAAGGAAGUCAUAAACAAAAAGCAAUGAGAGCACAUUAACAUGCAAAGCAAUGGUAGUUGGUUGACUUUAAUAGGAUCACCAAUAAAUCAUCAUCGUCGCCCCUAACGGACACAUAAACUCCGAUUCUCGUCGACUCUUCACCGAGUAACAAUUAAUUGUAGAUUUAAUGAUUCGUUGGUGAUAAAACGAAUCUCAUGUACGCGGCCAAUAGAAUUGGUUCCACGAAAGAGGAUAUCCGCAGUGAGAUGUACAUACUUACGUAUGUAUUACGUACAUAUUACAUUUAAAU